This 194-nucleotide ribosomal RNA is filed under the name uncultured Neisseriales bacterium. Its description in RNAcentral is "partial 16S ribosomal RNA". It matches the Rfam family "Bacterial small subunit ribosomal RNA", at positions 141 to 334 of the family's 1533-position model. The record is from RNAcentral. Lineage: Bacteria; Pseudomonadati; Pseudomonadota; Betaproteobacteria; Neisseriales.
GGAUAACCAAACGAAAGUUCGGCUAAUACCGCGUAAGCUCCAAGGAGGAAAGUAGGGGACCUAAAUAAGGCCUUACGCUAUUUGAUCGGCCGAUGUCGGAUUAGCUAGUUGGUGGGGUAAUGGCUCACCAAGGCAAUGAUCCGUAGCGGGUCUGAGAGGACGAUCCGCCACACUGGGACUGAGACACGGCCCAG